Long non-coding RNA from Mercenaria mercenaria, 2326 nucleotides. RefSeq lists it as uncharacterized. The transcript has 5 exons. NCBI's taxonomy places the organism in Eukaryota, Metazoa, Mollusca, Bivalvia, Venerida, Veneridae. The record is from RefSeq and is a predicted model, not a curated record.
CUGGUUGGAAGAGUACACAUGUGGGCUCCUGUCUUACUGGUUGUUUUCAGUCAAACGUGAAAAGGUCAUUAGAAAACGUACCAAUGACAGCAUAAAUGUAGUCAGUCGGCCAUAUUUCUCCACUGCUUCUGCGACGAAUCCUCCACCGCCGCGGCGUUGGAACCACCGCAUCUGCGAAAGCUAUGGCCAGUGUGCAUUUUGCAUUUAUGUUAGUUAAGGUAGACACCGUUGAUGUUUUUUACUGGCCCAAUAGAAAUAGGGCAUUUGCGUUUCACUCAGGAAUCAGUAACACUAAAAUGCAUUAUGCUUUUUAUCCGCCCUUUACAAAUAUGGCAUAUGCAUUUUACUUGCUCUUAACAAACAUGCAUUUCACUUAGCCAUUUGAAAUACGGUAUAUCAUAAUUAUUAGGUUUUUAGAAAUACUGCAUAAUUUUUAUUUAUGUUGUAUAACAUUGCUGUUAGAAAUAUGGCACUUGCUUUUUAGGCUGGCAAACUUGUUCGCUAGACUAUUAUUACCACAAGUCGAAAGUCACAAAGACUGUUGAGACUGACCACACAAAAUUAUAUUUCAUGCGCAAUUCAAAUAGUUCUGUGCUGUAUAUCAAUUUUACUAUGAAUUUGUUUAAAGAUUGAUAAACUUACCUGUCUCAAUAAAUCUAUUUUUUUCAACCAUUUUAUAAUCAUGUUUUCUUUUAAAGGAAAAAUAUUUGAAAGUACAAACAGAUCUUUAUAAAGGCAUUGCUAAUUACAUAUUCAUUCUUACUAGCGUUUCUUUAUUAAGCUGGCGUAACAUCUCUCUGCUUGUACAUUCACUUUUGUAUAGACUGUUAACUUAUGCAUGCAAGCAAGUUUAUUUUUAGACUGUGGAAUAGUCGAUUUUAAGCAGAAAUAGUGUGUUAAGUUCUUAAUUAGAGUUCUGUCAACAAUUUUAUAUAAUAUACGAUAACAUAUAUACAAAUCUAAAAUAUAUAACAUACUUCAUGGUGUUACUGAAAUAGAUAGUGAAGAUACCGAAGUUGCUUAAGAAAGUAAUGGAGUUUUCCUCAUGCAUAAUCUAUUGUUAGAUUUCCAAAGAAUAUUAUUUAGGUUUUUCCGUGUUCUAUUUUAGGAAUAAUGUCAGUAAUUUCGUCGAAAAUAUGCUUCCGUGGUGUAGUCGAAAGAAGUCCAUACUAAAUAGAUUCUAAUUUUCCCAUUUUUGCGCACAAAUUUGUGUAGAACGAGUGCUUCAAUCACAUUUUUUCACUGCUAGAAUAUAUUCUGCAUGAAAUGAGAUGGUUUUCAUGUUUAUACACCCCAUAUGGCAAGUUUUGCAGAUCAAAAUCUGAAGUAGGUGUUUAUUGUACGGACAAGAGCAAAUAUGCGCCAUUGUUUGGGUAGUAGACAACAACUGACUGGCAUUUGGCACAAGAUCACAGUUAUUUGCACUUGGUUGACCACAGUAAGGAAGUGGUGAAGUGGAAAAUAGUUCCUCUGUUUGAUGGAUGCUUUGGACCAACGACUGUCUUACUUCAUUACACAUUUGCCUGUUGUUAGUAGAUGAUCCCUAUAGUAUCGGAGGCCAAAAAUCAAGAUCACAGCAAUUCAAAGAAUAACAAGAGAUGUUCAGAGAUAGCAGGCCAAACUAUAUGCUUAAUAGUGAAAUGGGACAUAUUUGAGGAAACUAGAGCUAUCACAGGAGCAAUCAAUACUCUCCCUUGCGGAUGAUGAUGUUGGACAACAGUUAAAGGCAAAUCCACUCACUAAAUAACACAGAGCUGAGCUCCACUGCCUAUACAGUAGCUGUCCGUAUACUUCUUACAGUCAAGAACAGUUUGCCGAGUGGUUAACAAGGGGCAGGACGUGAAGUGGUUGCACACUUGGUUCAGGCGAGGGAAAUGGUUGCAAACUUACAAAAUGGCGGAUAUUUUCUGAAAUCAUUGCGUGUUCGCUUGUUUUUUUUUAUCAGGUCUAGAUGCUAUGAACAUCAGAUGCUAUUAUGACCCGAGUCUCGGAGAGCAUGAACAUGAAUCUUCAUUAGUUGAAAAAACUAUGCUAUCACGUAUAUCAGAAAAACACGUUAGAGAUCACGAGUUUAACCGAAGGAAAGGAACCAUACCAAAGUAUGGAACCUUAAGAAAAUUGAAUAAUAUACCAAGAGGUGUUCGACCAGUUAAGUCACAUUACAGAGUUGACGAGUCCACUAAGACUAUAUUUUGAAUGAACUCGCAAAUUAAAAUACAACGCAACAGUUACGAUGUAUACAGUGGAUUGAAAUUGAUAAACUAUAAUAAGAAAAUGUUCGGCUGCGAUUAAAUCCGUCUUCUCUGAAAAUGAACAAACAUAAUUA